UACGUAGGUGGCAAGCGUUGUUCGGAAUUAUUGGGCGUAAAGGGCGCGUAGGCGGCCUGUUAAGUCGGCUGUGAAAGCCCGGGGCUCAACCUCGAGACGUCGGUUGAAACCGCUUGGCUAGAGUCCGGAAGAGGAGAGUGGAAUUCCCGGUGUAGCGGUGAAAUGCGCAGAUAUCGGGAAGAACACCCGUGGCGAAGGCGGCUCUCUGGGACGGUACUGACGCUGAGACGCGAAAGCGUGGGGAGCGAACAGG
RNAcentral lists this ribosomal RNA (253 nucleotides) under uncultured prokaryote. RNAcentral describes it as "partial 16S ribosomal RNA". It matches the Rfam family "Bacterial small subunit ribosomal RNA", at positions 524 to 776 of the family's 1533-position model. The record is from RNAcentral.